AGUCGUAACAAGGUUUCCGUAGGUGAACCUGCGGAAGGAUCAUUACCGAGUGAGGGCCCUUUGGGUCCAACCUCCCACCCGUGUUUAUUUUACCUUGUUGCUUCGGCGGGCCCGCCUUUACUGGCCGCCGGGGGGCUUCACGCCCCCGGGCCCGCGCCCGCCGAAGACACCCUCGAACUCUGUCUGAAGAUUGAAGUCUGAGUGAAAAUAUAAAUUAUUUAAAACUUUCAACAACGGAUCUCUUGGUUCCGGCAUCGAUGAAGAACGCAGCGAAAUGCGAUACGUAAUGUGAAUUGCAAAUUCAGUGAAUCAUCGAGUCUUUGAACGCACAUUGCGCCCCCUGGUAUUCCGGGGGGCAUGCCUGUCCGAGCGUCAUUGCUGCCCUCAAGCCCGGCUUGUGUGUUGGGCCCCGUCCUCCGAUUCCGGGGGACGGGCCCGAAAGGCAGCGGCGGCACCGCGUCCGGUCCUCGAGCGUAUGGGGCUUUGUCACCCGCUCCGUAGGCCCGGCCGGCGCUUGCCGAUCAACCCAAAUUUUUAUCCAGGUUGACCUCGGAUCAGGUAGGGAUACCCGCUGAACUUAAGCAUAUCAAUAA
RNAcentral lists this unclassified non-coding RNA (593 nucleotides) under Penicillium aurantiogriseum. RNAcentral's name for it is "sequence contains 18S rRNA gene, ITS1, 5.8S rRNA gene, ITS2, 28S rRNA gene". The stretch from base 223 to 375 matches the Rfam family "5.8S ribosomal RNA". Lineage: Eukaryota; Fungi; Ascomycota; Eurotiomycetes; Eurotiales; Aspergillaceae. The record is from RNAcentral.